RNAcentral lists this ribosomal RNA (252 nucleotides) under uncultured bacterium. RNAcentral's name for it is "partial 16S ribosomal RNA". It matches the Rfam family "Bacterial small subunit ribosomal RNA", at positions 524 to 776 of the family's 1533-position model. The record is from RNAcentral.
UACGUAGGGGGCAAGCGUUGUCCGGAAUUAUUGGGCGUAAAGCGCGCGCAGGCGGUCUUUUAAGUCUGGUGUCUAAGUGCGGGGCUCAACCCCGUGAUGCACUGGAAACUGGGAGACUUGAGUGCAGAAGAGGAGAGCGGAAUUCCACGUGUAGCGGUGAAAUGCGUAGAGAUGUGGAGGAACACCGGUGGCGAAGGCGGGACUCUGGGCCGAUACUGACGCUGAGGAGCGAAAGCGUGGGGAGCAAACAGG